UCCCAUAGCUCAGUUGGUGAAGCAUCUGCCUGCAAUGCAGGAGACUCCAGUUUGAUUUCUGGGUUGGGAA
RNAcentral lists this transfer RNA (70 nucleotides) under Bos taurus (domestic cattle). It matches the Rfam family "tRNA". From Rfam's summary of the family: Transfer RNA (tRNA) molecules are approximately 80 nucleotides in length. Their secondary structure includes four short double-helical elements and three loops (D, anti-codon, and T loops). Further hydrogen bonds mediate the characteristic L-shaped molecular structure. tRNAs have two regions of fundamental functional importance: the anti-codon, which is responsible for specific mRNA codon recognition, and the 3' end, to which the tRNAs corresponding amino acid is attached (by aminoacyl-tRNA synthetases). tRNAs cope with the degeneracy of the genetic code in two manners: having more than one tRNA (with a specific anti-codon) for a particular amino acid; and 'wobble' base-pairing, i.e. permitting non-standard base-pairing at the 3rd anti-codon position. Lineage: Eukaryota; Metazoa; Chordata; Mammalia; Artiodactyla; Bovidae. RNAcentral also lists the same sequence under 2 other names. The record is from Rfam by way of RNAcentral.